RNAcentral lists this transfer RNA (85 nucleotides) under Felis catus (domestic cat). It matches the Rfam family "tRNA". From Rfam's summary of the family: Transfer RNA (tRNA) molecules are approximately 80 nucleotides in length. Their secondary structure includes four short double-helical elements and three loops (D, anti-codon, and T loops). Lineage: Eukaryota; Metazoa; Chordata; Mammalia; Carnivora; Felidae. The record is from Rfam by way of RNAcentral.
GCCUGGGUGGCUCAGUCGGUUGAGCAUCUGACUUCAGCUCAGGUCAUGAUCUCACAGCUCAUGAGUUCGAGCCCCAUGUCAGGCU